UCUGGGCCAUAACUGACACUGAGGAGCGAAAGUGCGGGGAGCGAACAGGAUUAGAUACCCUGGUAGUCCGCACCGUAAACGGUGGGCACUAGUUGUGGGAACCUUCCACGGUUUCCGCGACGCAGCAAACGCAUUAAGUGCCCCGCCUGGGGAGUACGAUCGCAAGAUUAAAACUCAAAGGAAUUGACGGGGCCCCGCACAAGCAGCGGAGCAUGCGGCUUAAUUCGACGCGACGCGAAGAACCUUACCAAGGCUUGACAUAUAGUGAAAAGUGGCAGAGAUGUCAUGUCCGCAAGGGCGCUAUACAGGUGGUGCAUGGUUGUCGUCAGCUCGUGUCGUGAGAUGUUGGGUUAAGUCCCGCAACGAGCGCAACCCUCGUUCUGUGUUACCAGCAUUUAGUUGGGGACUCACAGGAGACUGCCGGGGUCAACUCGGAGGAAGGUGGGGAUGACGUCAAAUCAUCAUGCCCCUUAUGUCUUGGGCUGCACGCAUGCUACAAUGGCCGGUACAAAGUGCUGCGAGAUCGUAAGAUUGAGCGAAUCACAUAAAGCCGGUCUCAGUUCGGAUUGAGGUCUGCAACUCGACCUCAUGAAGUCGGAGUUGCUAGUAAUCGUAGAUCAGCAACGCUACGGUGAAUACGUUCCCGGGGCUUGUACACACCGCCCGUCACGUCACGAAAGUCGGUAACACCCAAAGUUAGUGGCCCAACCGCAAGGGGGGAGCUACCUAAGGUGGGAUCGGUGAUUGGGACGAAGUCGUAACAAGGUAGCCGUA
RNAcentral lists this ribosomal RNA (774 nucleotides) under uncultured bacterium. Its description in RNAcentral is "bacterial SSU rRNA". It matches the Rfam family "Bacterial small subunit ribosomal RNA", at positions 728 to 1504 of the family's 1533-position model. The record is from RNAcentral.